AGCGGGGUGGAGCAGUCUGGUAGCUCGUCGGGCUCAUAACCCGAAGGUCGCAGGUUCAAAUCCUGCCCCCGCCACCA
This 77-nucleotide transfer RNA is filed under the name Acidimicrobiaceae bacterium. RNAcentral's name for it is "tRNA-Met". It matches the Rfam family "tRNA". Rfam says of the family: Transfer RNA (tRNA) molecules are approximately 80 nucleotides in length. Their secondary structure includes four short double-helical elements and three loops (D, anti-codon, and T loops). Lineage: Bacteria; Bacillati; Actinomycetota; Acidimicrobiia; Acidimicrobiales; Acidimicrobiaceae. The record is from RNAcentral.